CCUAUAGUAUUACAAUAGGUGGGUAGUAAAGCCAGCUUAAUUGGAAACAUAUCUGUAGAUCUCUAUUGUAAACUAUUAAAAAACCAUUAAGUACUUUACGUGUAUUGUGUAAAUUUUCACCAUAUUUUUGUAUUUUGUAAUACUGUCAACUAUGAUAAGUUUGAAUUUAAAUUUGGGGCUCUUUUUUUGGAUCACCCAGAAUAAUGUGUUUCCCUCUAGCUGGCCAGUAUGAGUAGAGUCCCUAUAUUUUUACUUGCACUACAAAUACAUGUUUAUAUGAUAUUUGCUAUACAUGUGCUUUGUAUAUUGUUCAGCAUUAUGACAUAAGCUACCUGACUCCACUUGUCAAGAAUUAGAUUCAAGUUCAUUGGUUUUUCCUUUUUUUAAUUUUUUUAAUUUUAAUUUUUUUUAUCCAUGGAUAUUGAGACAACAUGACCUAGUGGAUAGACUUCUGCCCCUGGAAUCAGGGUUCAAAUUCAGCCUUUAUAAAUUUUAGCAAGAUGGCACUAGGUGAGUCCUUGAGCCACCAGGUGCCUGAGGCAACUUUCUUGAACUCAUGGAUAGGUUAUUGUCUGCACUGGUGAAGAGAGUUUCCUAUAAGAGCAGUUCCCCAUGUUGACUAAAAUCACAGAACUUUGUGUCUCCAUGGUUACAGCUGCAAAUUACUAAGUAGUUCAGAAUCUUAAAAGCUUACCCCACAGUCUUUUAGGAGAUUUAGGAGAUUUACAAAGAGCUUUAAACAAAUAGAUAUGGUUAGGGCGAAAUGUUUUCCUUAAAGGACUUAAGGAUCUAAUUGAAAUUGAUGGCUGAAUAAAAGGGUAUCUCUAACUUGAUUACAUCAAUAUUUUCACAUAUUCCACUUAUUGUAUUGUUUGCAUAAUGGGUAGACAGCUCCUAGGAAAUAUCAUGGACUUUAAUUGGAUUUUGAGUUUUCAGGGGAAAAUAAAUUUGAAAUAUACUUUUCCUUUCUUUUUAAUUUUUUUAAAAGAAAAAUAAAAACUAGAUCAGCAUAGAAAUAACUAGUUUGGUUUAUUUUUUAUCAAAGUGAAUGGUUGUUCCAGAUGUUCUUUGUAUAUUCCAAGAGAAGGUAAAUUCUUCUUUAUCUACAAAUGAAGCCCGCUGGAACGAGAGUCAUCUCUUCCCUAGGUUUGGAUUGUGUUGGCUCACAUUAACAUAGGUGGCUAGGCCCCUUAGACAAAACACCUGUAUCUGCAUCUCUAAAUGUCCCAAGCAUUGUUCCAUGGCAGUGGAUUGAUAAAGAAACACUGAAAUAAAACCUUGGAGACAUUAUGAAAGUGGCAAAUAUCAAAAGGAAAGUCUUUUAAUUUUGUUUCCUCUUAUCAAUUUUCUUAUCUUUACGUUUAAAAUGAAGACAUUGCUUGAAAAGUUUGAAAUAUAGUAAUGCAUAGAAAUAGGAUGCCAUGAUGAUAAACCUGUGCUUGAUGUGUGCUUAAUGCAGCCCAAUGCCAGAUUUGAGUAAUUUUUUUUUCAUUUUCCUUUUAAUUCUUUGUAAUGAGCUUUUAUUUCUGUAGGUAUUUUCUCUCCAAAUAGAUGAAGUUUUGUUUUGUUUUGUUUUCUUUCUUCAUGGAUGCACUGAUAAUAUUUUAAAUGCUCUAUUUUAAUUCUCCAGAAUCUUUUCAUUUGGGGCUUCUGUUAGGCAUUUAUUCCCUUUAGCAAAUAUGAAUAUAGAAUGGUGGGAGGGGAACAGGGAAAAUGUUAACAUCAUGGGUGGGUUAGGGCAGCAUUUUCUGUGUGUUAAGCAGCAAUACAAUUGUAUGGCUGGCAUGUUUUUUUUUUUUUUUUAAAUGAAACAUAAGAACAGCUGUUUUGUAUUUUGGUGACUGAUUACUCUGUAUAUUAUCACAUUGUAUGACUGUUUUGUGGUGCUCUAGUGGUAAAUAAAUUAUUUCAAUUGUACAUGUAUGUGGCUUUCCUAUGACAGCAUAGAAAACACCUUCUGUAUCAUGAAUCCUAUUCUCAGAUGGGAGGGGUUAUAAGACAUUUACAACUUUUUUUUUUUUAAUUUGUGUGAAAUUGUUUGAAUUUGUUGUAUAACUCAGCUAAGAAAUGAUGUUCCAGGCUUAGCCAGGUACACUUACAGUCUUUGGGGUCAGAAGAUCUUAGAUCAGAUCACAGUUUUGCAAUUCACUAUUUUUAUGGCUUUUGGGUAAGCCCCCUCAUCUCUGGGCUUCAGUUUCCUCAUGUCAAUAUUGAAAAGUCAAUAUUACAUGAUCUCUAAGGUUUCUUCUAGUUCUCAAUAUUAUGAACUUGCUAAUAAUAAUUAUAGGUAGGAUUUAUAUAGUGCUUUAAAGUUUGCAGUGCUGUAUAUUCUCAUACUUUAGGAAUAUAUUACUUCUGACAAGAAACAUUCUUUUCCCUUAUUCACAAAAUCCAAACAAUUUUUACUGGUAGAAAGAAAAAAACAAUGACUUAUUCAGAGGGACAGUCUGUAUAACUAUUUUAAGACUGUAGAAGACAUUAUUCAUUUGCUCCUGAAAUAUGUGGGAUUCCCCUUUUCCCCCUAAAAUUGUUUUUGGCCACAAUGCUUAGUGGUUGAGAGUAGACACAGCUUUUCUAUAUAGUGGUAAACCACAUUCCAUUCUUCAUGUCAUGUUUAUUUCUUCCAAAGAUUCCCAAUGUCGUAUUUGUAAUUCCAGCAGAAUGAACACUAGACACAUCAAAAAUUGUGAUCAAUUUCAUUCUCUUGUGGGUCCUCACCUUAUCUUAAAAAAACAAAAAAAACAAACAAAAACAUAAAGGUUAUAUAUGUAUGU
RNAcentral lists this long non-coding RNA (2774 nucleotides) under Sarcophilus harrisii (Tasmanian devil). RNAcentral's name for it is "lncRNA (ENSSHAG00000030463.1)". Lineage: Eukaryota; Metazoa; Chordata; Mammalia; Dasyuromorphia; Dasyuridae. The record is from RNAcentral.